This 301-nucleotide ribosomal RNA is filed under the name uncultured bacterium. Its description in RNAcentral is "partial 16S ribosomal RNA". It matches the Rfam family "Bacterial small subunit ribosomal RNA", at positions 509 to 808 of the family's 1533-position model. The record is from RNAcentral.
CAGUCGCCGCGGUAAUUCGUAGGGUGCGAGCGUUAAUCGGAAUUACUGGGCGUAAAGCGUGCGCAGGCGGUUGUGUAAGACAGGUGUGAAAUCCCCGGGCUUAACCUGGGAACUGCGCUUGUGACUGCACAGCUAGAGUAUGGCAGAGGGGGGUGGAAUUCCACGUGUAGCAGUGAAAUGCGUAGAGAUGUGGAGGAACACCGAUGGCGAAGGCAGCCCCCUGGGCCAAUACUGACGCUCAUGCACGAAAGCGUGGGGAGCAAACAGGAUUAGAUACCCUGUAGUCCCUGUCUCUUAUACA